RNAcentral lists this ribosomal RNA (1194 nucleotides) under Triticum aestivum (bread wheat). Its description in RNAcentral is "partial small subunit ribosomal RNA". Lineage: Eukaryota; Viridiplantae; Streptophyta; Magnoliopsida; Poales; Poaceae. The record is from RNAcentral.
AUGUUUAAUGACUGCAUUGCCGACCUUGGUCUCCGCGAGUUAGAUAGGGUGGGUGCCAGGUUUACCUGGACCAACCGCCAGGCUUCUCCGACCCAGUCCGUUCUGGACCGGGUCCUAGUUUCCCCGGAAUGGGACCUCCGCUGCUCCCUCGCCUCCCUCCGAGCUAUCACUAGGAUUGGCUCCGACCAUGUCCCCCUCCUCCUUUCCUCCGCCGACGAGCGCCCCCCGCUACCCCGACGAUUCCGGUUUGAGACUUUCUGGCUGUCCCAGAAUGGCUUCGUGGAGGCUGUUGGCGCUCGUUGGGUCGAAGCUCGCGCCCACCCUCAGCCUCAUCCCUCCUCGGCCAUUGAUUCUUGGUAGUUUUGUGCCAAGCGGGGCCGUCAAUUUAUGAAGGGAUGGGGCGCCAACUUGGGGCGUGAUCUUCGCGAGCGCAAGAAGACCCUGUUGUCCGCCAUCCAGGCCCUCGACCUGCGCGCUGACGCGGUUGGCCUCUCGCCUAAGGAGUGGCUCUUUAGGUACGACUUGGAGGACCAGCUCUCGGUCAUAUACACCGACGAGGAGGCCUACUGGCGCUUGCGCGGCGCCCAGAAAUGGUUUCUGAAAGGUGACGCGAACACGGCCUACUUCCAGACCAUAGCGAAUGGUCGGUGUAGACGCAAGACCAUUCCCCUCCUUUGGGAUGGGGAUUCUCUGCUGCAGUCCCCCCGGGACAUCAGGGCUCAUGUCGAUGGAUUCUAUAGGGCCCUUUUCUCUGCCCCCCCUCGGGGAGGCUUAUCUUUGGCCCACGACUGCUGGUCCGGCCGCCAGCUUGUCUCCGCUCAGGAGAACGCGGUCCUUACGGCCCCCUUCUACGAGGGCGAGGUAUGGGAUGCCAUUCACGGCAUGAAUCCCACCUCGGCCCCGGGCCCGGAUGGCCUCCCCGUGAAAUUCUUCCAGACUUUCUAGAAUGUGAUCAAACUAGAGAUCAUGGCCAUUUUCGACGAGUUCUAUGUUUGGUCCAUCGACCUCGGGCGCCUCAACUAUGGGAUCAUCUCGCUCAUCCCGAAGGUCCCGGGCGCCUCCGACAUCCGCCAGUUUCGUCCAAUCACGGUCAUCAACGUGAUUUUUUGGAUUCUGGCAAAAGGGUACGCCAAUAGGGUAACCCUCCUCGCGGACCAGAUUACCCACCCCAACCAGUCCGCCUUUGAAGAUUGA